UACGUAGGGUCCGAGCGUUGUCCGGAAUUACUGGGCGUAAAGAGCUCGUAGGUGGUUUGUCGCGUUGUUCGUGAAAAUUCACAGCUCAACUGUGGGCGUGCGGGCGAUACGGGCAGACUUGAGUACUGCAGGGGAGACUGGAAUUCCUGGUGUAGCGGUGGAAUGCGCAGAUAUCAGGAGGAACACCGGUGGCGAAGGCGGGUCUCUGGGCAGUAACUGACGCUGAGGAGCGAAAGCGUGGGGAGCGAACAGG
This 253-nucleotide ribosomal RNA is filed under the name uncultured bacterium. Its description in RNAcentral is "partial 16S ribosomal RNA". It matches the Rfam family "Bacterial small subunit ribosomal RNA", at positions 524 to 776 of the family's 1533-position model. The record is from RNAcentral.